CACCAAAAAUUUGAUGUCUCUAACUCUCCACACCAAGGAUGUAUCUUGUGAAGAUAAUAUGGAUAACUUAGGGAAGAAGAGAUUGCUAGAUGUCCCUCCCCUAAGUGGCCGGCCUCUUUAGAGAAAAAUGAGAGAAAGUGUUUCACCCAAUUUCUUUAAGAAAACCCUAAUGAGAAAUAAAGCUAUAAAGUUCCUUUUCAUUUCAAGUGAGUGGCAAACUUGUAAUUAAUCCAAGCUUGCCCAUUCACCCUAAUGGCCGGCCAUAUUAAUGUUAUUGGGCUAAUUGCCCAUUUUGUUUUAGUUGUCAUACAACUUAAACAUAAUGGGCCUUGUGGACCAAAACGCUUUUGAGACCCGAAGCCCAAAACAAACUUAAAAGCCCAAUACGAACCUUUCGUAAAAUUAAUUAAUCUUGACCAUUCAUCAAUUAAAACAUUUAAUUGCUUAUCCAUUUCAUUUAAUUUCCUCACAUACAUCCUUACUCGGUGUACGAUCCAUUAGGUUCCAAUUAGCGAGGUAGUG
Molecule: long non-coding RNA, 522 nt
Filed under: Malus domestica (apple)
Lineage: Eukaryota; Viridiplantae; Streptophyta; Magnoliopsida; Rosales; Rosaceae
Description: long non-coding RNA (MDOM_LNC006006)
Source: RNAcentral